CAGCCGCCACGGGAAUACGGAGGGUGCAAGCGUUAAUCGGAAUUACUGGGCGUAAAGCGUGCGUAGGCGGUUCGUUAAGUCUGUUGUGAAAGCCCCGGGCUCAACCUGGGAAUGGCAAUGGAUACUGGCGAGCUAGAGUGUGUCAGAGGAUGGUGGAAUUCCCGGUGUAGCGGUGUAAUGCGUAGAUAUUGGGAAGAACACCAGUGGCGAAGGCGGCUCACUGGACCGACACUGACGCUGAGGCGCGAAAGCGUGGGGAGCAAACAGGAUUAGAUACCCCCGUAGUCCCUGUCUCUUAUAC
Molecule: ribosomal RNA, 301 nt
Filed under: uncultured bacterium
Lineage: Bacteria
Description: partial 16S ribosomal RNA
Rfam family: Bacterial small subunit ribosomal RNA
Source: RNAcentral